GAUGAACGCUGGCGGCGUGCUUAACACAUGCAAGUCGAACGGAAAGGCCCAAGCUUGCUUGGGUACUCGAGUGGCGAACGGGUGAGUAACACGUGGGUGAUCUGCCCUGCACUUCGGGAUAAGCCUGGGAAACUGGGUCUAAUACCGGAUAGGACCACGUCUUGGAUGCUGUGGUGGAAAGUUUUUCGGUGUGGGAUGAGCUCGCGGCCUAUCAGCUUGUUGGUGGGGUAAUGGCCUACCAAGGCGUCGACGGGUAGCCGGCCUGAGAGGGUGUACGGCCGCAUUGGGACUGAGAUACGGCGCAGACGCCUACGGGAGGCAGCAGUGGGGAAGAUUGCACAAUGGGCGCAAGCCUGAUGCAGCGACGCCGCGUGGGGGAUGACGGCCUUCGGGUUGUAGAAUCCUUUCGCUAGGGAGGAAGCUUAUUUUGUGACGGUACCUGGAGAAGAAGCACCGGCUAACUACGUG
This 468-nucleotide ribosomal RNA is filed under the name uncultured bacterium. RNAcentral describes it as "partial 16S ribosomal RNA". It matches the Rfam family "Bacterial small subunit ribosomal RNA", at positions 28 to 507 of the family's 1533-position model. The record is from RNAcentral.